GAUGAACGCUGGCGGCGUGCCUAAUACAUGCAAGUCGAGCGAACAGACGAGGAGCUUGCUCCUCUGACGUUAGCGGCGGACGGGUGAGUAACACGUGGAUAACCUACCUAUAAGACUGGGAUAACUUCGGGAAACCGGAGCUAAUACCGGAUAAUAUAUUGAACCGCAUGGUUCAAUAGUGAAAGACGGUUUUGCUGUCACUUAUAGAUGGAUCCGCGCCGCAUUAGCUAGUUGGUAAGGUAACGGCUUACCAAGGCAACGAUGCGUAGCCGACCUGAGAGGGUGAUAGGCCACACUGGAACUGAGACGCGGUCCAGACUCCUACGGGAGGGAGCAGUAGGGAAUCUUCCGCAAUGGGCGAAAGCCUGACGGAGCAACGCCGCGUGAGUGAUGAAGGUCUUCGGAUCGUAAAACUCUGUUAUUAGGGAAGAACAAAUGUGUAAGUAACUAUGCACGUCUUGACGGUACCUAAUCAGAAAGCAACGGCUAACUACGUG
This 497-nucleotide ribosomal RNA is filed under the name uncultured bacterium. Its description in RNAcentral is "partial 16S ribosomal RNA". It matches the Rfam family "Bacterial small subunit ribosomal RNA", at positions 28 to 507 of the family's 1533-position model. The record is from RNAcentral.